This is a long non-coding RNA of Humulus lupulus (European hop), 372 nucleotides long. RefSeq lists it as uncharacterized. Lineage: Eukaryota; Viridiplantae; Streptophyta; Magnoliopsida; Rosales; Cannabaceae. The transcript has 4 exons. The record is from RefSeq and is a predicted model, not a curated record.
UGAAGCGUCAAGCCAGGCUGCUGUUCAGAAGGAAGCUUUAGGAUUGCAAACUAAAGCCAAAACCAAGGAAUCUGAAUUUGAAAAACUAAUAAAUUCAGCAUCAGCAGGUGACAUUACUAAAGCUGCAGAAGCUGCGCUAAAGUUGGAGCGGGAAAGAUUAAAAAAGUUGGAAGACUUGGAUGAAGGAAACAAGGCAUUAGGAUUGAAUGUAAAUAAGGAUUAUGUUCGCCAUGAAAGAAAUAUCUCUAAAUUGAUACGGCAGAUUAUAGGAACUAAUGAUGUUGUCAAACAAAAAGCAGCAGAACUUGUCAAGAUCCUCAAAAAUCCUGCUUACCCUCAAUCUAUCAGUGCUGGAGCAUUUGCUAGAAAGGU